CGCGGACUUUUGGAAGCGGUUGUUGUUCAUGGAGAACUGAUAGGGCUUAGCUGGCGCCGUGGCAAUGCAAUUACACCUUGGUGGUUGGAGGUGGCGUUUUCGAUGCGAAGAUGUUUCUUCUGAAAUAGAGUUUUUUGUUUCUUUUGGUCCUUUUUCUUUUUUUUUUUCUCUUUCCUUUUCUUUAUUUGUUAUUCUUAUGUGUAUUUUGGGGGGGUGUUUCACUGCAACCGGUGCUUCUUGAUAAAAACAAUCAAUUCAGUAAUAAGAGACAGGUACACGCCAUUGCAGCCAAGAUCUCAGAUACGAAGUAUGAUCCUAAGCUUGAUAUCUGGAAACGCGAUAAUGAAGGAGUUACCAAGAACAGACGCGUCCUUUGUAGUUCUGUCUCAUCAAAUUUUCGUUAAGGGACAUCAACGAGCUGAAGCCUUUCUAUGGGAGAGUUGUAGCUAGUAGCAAAGCCGAUCUGACGGGAUAGGUCUCGCUUGGGGAGAAAUUUGCUGUUUUUGAAUAGUUUUCCAUUCAACACACUGUUUGUAGGAUUGUAUACGAGG
RNAcentral lists this small RNA (551 nucleotides) under Histoplasma ohiense. Its description in RNAcentral is "hypothetical lncRNA". Lineage: Eukaryota; Fungi; Ascomycota; Eurotiomycetes; Onygenales; Ajellomycetaceae. The record is from RNAcentral.